UGGGUUUGACAUAUAGGUUGUAGGGAACUGAAAAGGGACCGACCCUUCGGGGAGCCUAUACAGGUGUUGCAUGGCUGUCGUCAGCUCGUGUCGUGAGAUGUUCGGUUAAGUCCGCUAACGAGCGCAACCCUCGUCGUAUGUUAUAUGUGUCAUACGAGACUGCCGGUAAAAAGCCGGAGGAAGGUGAGGAUGAUGUCAAGUCAGCAUGACCUUUAUAUCCAGGGCUACACACACGCUACAAUGGUCUGUACAAUGGGUAGCCAAGCCGCGAGGCGGAGCCAAUCCUGAAAGCAGGCCUCAGUUCAGAUUGUAGGCUGCAACUCGCCUGCAUGAAGAUGGAGUUGCUAGUAACCGCAGGUCAGCAAUACUGCGGUGAAUACGUUCCCGGGUCUU
RNAcentral lists this ribosomal RNA (393 nucleotides) under uncultured Anaerolineaceae bacterium. RNAcentral describes it as "bacterial SSU rRNA". It matches the Rfam family "Bacterial small subunit ribosomal RNA", at positions 976 to 1382 of the family's 1533-position model. Lineage: Bacteria; Bacillati; Chloroflexota; Anaerolineae; Anaerolineales; Anaerolineaceae. The record is from RNAcentral.